This 228-nucleotide long non-coding RNA is filed under the name Phoenix dactylifera (date palm). Its description in RNAcentral is "long non-coding RNA (PDAC_LNC004336)". The record is from RNAcentral. Lineage: Eukaryota; Viridiplantae; Streptophyta; Magnoliopsida; Arecales; Arecaceae.
CAAAUCGGGAAGCAUAGGAUAGGUGUUUUCUUGCCCAUCAUUUGAUUUUUGGCCUCCUCUAUGGCUAAAGAAUACCAUAGGACCAGUCAUUAGUCCUUGACUCAAUCCAUGGUCACCAGUGCAUCCCUUGGGGUCGUUUGGGAAAAACCAAUUCCAGUUGACAUCUAUCCAUGCGAUGGACUGAAUACCUGAUGUUGCAAGAUUGAUCAUCAUCAUUCUUUGGAGAUC